Molecule: ribosomal RNA, 300 nt
Filed under: uncultured bacterium
Lineage: Bacteria
Description: bacterial SSU rRNA
Rfam family: Bacterial small subunit ribosomal RNA
Source: RNAcentral
ACGUAAGAAUUACCUUUAGGAGGGACGAACAGUUGGAACGAACUGCUAAUACCCACUAUGCUUAUAGUGAAACGGUUUUACCGUCCUAAAGAAGAAGCUUGCGGCUGAUUAGCUUGUUGGUAGGGUAAGUAGCCUACCAAGGCGACGAUCAGUAUCUGGUUUGUAGAGGAUGAUCAGACACACUGGAACUGAGACACGGUCCAGACUCCUACGGGAGGCAGCAGUAGGGAAUUUUCCGCAAUGGGCGAAAGCCUGACGGAGCAAUACCGCGUGAGGGAUGACUGCCUAUGGGUUGUAAAC